GACGAACGCUGGCGGCGUGCUUAACACAUGCAAGUCGAGCGGUAAGGCUCCUUCGGGAGUACACGAGCGGCGAACGGGUGAGUAACACGUGAGUAAUCUGCCCUUCACUUCGGGAUAACCGCCGGAAACGGUGGCUAAUACCGAAUACGACACAGUCCCGCAUGGGAUCUGAGUGGAAAGUUUUCUCGGUGAAGGAUGUGCUCGCGGCCUAUCAGCUUGUUGGUGAGGUAACGGCUCACCAAGGCUUCGACGGGUAGCCGGCCUGAGAGGGUGACCGGCCACACUGGGACUGAGACACGGCCCAGACUCCUACGGGAGGCAGCAGUGGGGAAUAUUGCACAAUGGGCGAAAGCCUGAUGCAGCGACGCCGCGUGAGGGAUGACGGCCUUCGGGUUGUAAACCUCUUUCAGCAGGGAAGAAGCGAAAGUGACGGUACCUGCAGAAGAAGCACCGGCUAACUACGUGCCAGCCGCCGCCGUAACAC
Molecule: ribosomal RNA, 484 nt
Filed under: uncultured bacterium
Lineage: Bacteria
Description: bacterial SSU rRNA
Rfam family: Bacterial small subunit ribosomal RNA
Source: RNAcentral